GGCUCCCCUCGCCGAACGUGAUAUUCAAGUGCGAGGGGGUCAGGAAAACAUUAAAUGAUGCAAGAGAUACGAUAUCGCGCCCCGCCAGAGGCAAGAUGAGUGACAGCGAGCAUUAAACGCCGGGUAGCUAUAAAGCGAGAAUGCAGGCAGGGACAGAAUAAACUAUGGUAUUGGAUCGUGUCCCAGAAUGCAUUGCAUCACAAAUGUACUGAACGCAAAGAAUGAACGGAUCCCUGACAAGCUCGCAGACUGUCCUGCGCUAUAUGAUAUACAAAACAGUCGGGGGGCAUUGUUUACCUCGGAGAACAUUCAAAAUAAAAUCCCCGGGAGGAAAAGGAAAAAGACGAACUGCUGUCAUCGCCGUCAUAGAGAAUUCCAAACACGGAAAAAUGACAGGGAUGAAAACAGAGCCACACUUCAGCUGGGGGGAGAGAAGAAGAAGCAGAAGAAGCAGAAGAAGAAGAAGAAGAAGAAGAAACACGGGUGACCUGAAAGGGGCGUAUUGUGUAAGGGGGCACUCUUCCCUCUGCCACCGAGGGGCAAGUUGACGGAACAGCGCGGUGAAUCGCACCCAUUGUAGCGCUCGCCGCCGGGAUGAGAGCAUGGAACGGAUUUCGGCCCCCCUCCGGCCCCCCUUAUCAGCUCCCGCCAGGAACGGUGCCGUCCGGAGGGCUCCCACCUUGACGACGGCGGCCGUAGACGCCAAAGCGACCGUAGACUCCUUGGCGAUCUGCUUGCAUGCUGCAGCCCCUCAGAAAAGUGUGGGAAUAAAUCCUGAAAAUUGAAACUUAUGUAAUCAGUUUAGCUGUAUUAUGAAAAAUGUGUCUUCCCCUCUGACAGCUGAAGGGGACAAAAAUAAACAGUGAAACAUAAAACCACCAGAAAAGACCAUUUUUCCACCUCGUCAUGCCGAAUACAUUUUCGACUGCGCAAGAGUGUUAAAAAAAAAAGAGAUCGAAACGAUAAGCUAUGUAAACUAGAUUAGCAGACAUGAACAUGAGAAGCAGGGGCAGUGGCCGCUGUAAUUCUGCUGGAGUUCUGACAUCAGUUGCCCUGCACAAGCAGUGUUUUCAUCUUCUGGCGAGUGAUGAGGUCAUCGCGCUGAGACAGGAAGGAGCACUAGCAGGAAGGCUUGUGUCAGCAUUCUCUACGGGCCAUGAGAACACGACAAAAAAACAAAAAUGGAAUCCGUCUCCGCUUCUGCUUUUUUCGAGCGCGUUCACGUGUCCGAAGGGCUUGUUUCUAUUUACGCGGCCGAUAUGAGUGAAAUCUGCCCCAGCGAAGAGGGCAGGGUGUGAGCGUCUGAUUCCCCUCCCUUCCUGUCCUGGGAGGACUGGGUGAGGCAUUUAAUUUCGAAAAAGGUGGGACUCUCCUUCAUGUGGGCGUCGUCAUGGAUCAGUGGCACCUCAUAAAUGCCUCUCCAAGGCCCACUGGUAGCCAAUGAGGGCAUAUCCAAGGCAUAGCGGUACUUCAUAGUGACAUCACAAAGGCACUGUGGCGCCUUAUAAGGGCAUUUUCAAUGUACAGUGGUACCUCUUUGUGACUUCACAAAGGCAGAGUGGCACCUUAUAAGGGCAUUUCUAAGGCAAACUAGUACCACCAUAGUGACAUCACAAAGGCCCCAUGGCAACACAUAAGGUCAUUUCUACAGCGCAUAAUUACCUCACAGUGACAUAAAUUCACAGCGCUACAGCAAUAUCCCAGAGGCAAAGGGGGUACAGUGCCAUGUGAACACUGGGGCAUUUGGCUUUUGGCAGUCAUUGCACUGUCAUUGCA
Anguilla anguilla (European eel) is the source of this 1776-nucleotide long non-coding RNA. RefSeq lists it as uncharacterized. The record is from RefSeq and is a predicted model, not a curated record. The transcript is spliced from 3 exons. Lineage: Eukaryota; Metazoa; Chordata; Actinopteri; Anguilliformes; Anguillidae.